GUGGUGACGGAUAACGGAGGAUCAGGGUUCGACUCCGGAGAAGGGCCUGAGAAAUGGCCACUACGUCUAAGGAUGGCAGCAGGCGCGCAAAUUACCCACUCUCGGCUCGAGGAGGUAGUGACGAGAAAUAACGAGACCGUUCUCUUUGAGGCCGGUCAUCGGAAUGGGUACAAUUUAAACCCUUUAACGAGUAUCAAGCAGAGGGCAAGUCUGGUGCCAGCAGCCGCGGUAAUUCCAGCUCUGCUAAUACAUAGAAUUAUUGCUGCGGUUAAAAAGCUCGUAGUUGGAUUCGUAUCGGUACCCUGGAACCCUCCGGGUGUUUCUGGGUGUUAUCGAUUUAUCGUAAUGUUCGGUUUUGAGUCCUUAACAGGAUUCUUAACAGGCAUUGCAAGUUUACUUUGAACAAAUCAGAGUGCUUCAAACAGGCGUUUUCGCUUGAAUGAUCGUGCAUGGAAUAAUAGAAAACGAUUUCGGUUCAGUUUUAUUGGUUUUACGGACUGAGAUAAUGGUUAACAGAGACAAACGGGGGCAUUUGUAUGGCCCCGUGAGAGGUGAAAUUCUUGGACCGUGGCCAGACAAACUACAGCGAAAGCAUUUGCCAGGAAUGUCUUCAUUAAUCAAGAACGAAAGUCAGAGGUUCGAAGGCGAUCAGAUACCGCCCUAGUUCUGACCGUAAACGAUGCCAACUAGCGAUCCGCCGAUGGAAAUUAUAUUGCCUUGGUGGGGAGCUUCCCGGAAACGAAAGUCUUCCGGUUCCGGGGAAGUAUGGUUGCAAAGCUGAAACUUAAAGGAAUUGACGGAAGGGCACCACCAGGAGUGGAGCCUGCGGCUUAAUUUGACUCAACACGGGGAAACUCACCCGGCCCGGACACUGUGAGGAUUGACAGAUUGAUAGCUUUUUCAUGAUUCAGUGGAUGGUGGUGCAUGGCCACCAUCGGUGGCCAUGGAAGGUGGCCAUGGAAGUCGGAAUCCGCUAAGGAGUGUGUAACAACUCACCUGCCGAAUCAACUAGCCCUGAAAAUGGAUGGCGCUGGAGCGGGCCACCUAUACUCUGCCGUCAUAUGCUUGUAUUCCGUGAAGAGUCUGGCAAUGACGUGUAAGAGGGUCGUAGUGGAAGACUGAAGUGAAGACUGAAGUGGAGAAGGGUUCCACGUGAACAGCAGUUGAAUGUGGGUCAGUCGAUCCUAAGGCACCGGCUAAAGCCGUCUAGACACUGCGGGGAGAUGAGGUACUUAACGGUAUUUUGUCCACCCGGUUGCCGAAAGGGAAGUGGGUUAAUAUUCCCACACCAGGCAUGGGAGAUGGUGAUCCGCAAGGAUUACUUUGCGCGGUGACGCAAACGAACUCGUAGACCUCGUGUGGAGUCCGGGCCAGAGUUCUCUUUUCUGGUUUAGAGAUCAUGUCCCUGGAAGUGGCUCAGCCUGAGAUAGGGAUGCUGGUCUCGUAAAGCGCAGCGGUUCCUGUUGUGUCUCGUGUGCUCCACAUGAGCCGUGAAAAUGCGAGGGAGGCAAUUUAAAAUCUCCUGCCUGAUCGUACCCAUAUCCGCAGCAGGUCUCCAAGGUGAUCAGCCUCUAGUCGAUAGAAUAAUGUAGGUAAGGGAAGUCGGCAAAUUAGAUUCGUAACUUCGGGAAAAGAAUUGGCUCUAAAGGUUGGGUCAGUCGGGCUGUUGUGUGAAACAGGUGGACUUUGCUCGUGGCUGCUUGCGCUUCUUCUUACGGGGCGGCGCUUGUGGACUAGUAGUGAGGACUGCUUGUGGAGCGCUUCAGCUGCGUGCUAUAUCGCAAGAUAUAGUACUUCGAUUGGCGCUGAACAACCAGUUUAGAACUGGCACGAACUCCGGGAAUCCGACUGUCUAAUUAAAACAGAGGAGACGGAUGGUCCUUGCAGGACGUUGACCGUGUCUGAUUUCUGCCCAGUGCUCUGAAUGUUAAGCCAAGGAAACUUGAUUAAGCGCGGGUAAACGGCGGGAGUAACUAUGACUCUCUUAAGGUAGCCAAAUGCCUCGUCGGCUAACUACCGACGCGCACGAAUGGAUCAACGAGAUUCCCACUGUCCCUAUCUACUAUCUAGCGAAACCACAGCCAAGGGAACGGGCUUGGCAAAUUUAGCGGGAAAGAAGACCCUGUUGAGCUUGACUCUAGUCUGACUUUGUGAAGAAUCAUGAGAGGUGUAGCAUAAGUGGGAGUCGCAAGACAACAGUGAAAUACCACUACUUUCAUCGAUUCCUUACUUAAUCGGUAAAACGGGAGUUGUGUCUACGGACCUUCAUUUUUGUUUUAAGACUAGCCACUCGGUGGUUGGUUGACUCGCGCCAUUGACAUUGUCAGGCGGGGACUUUGACUGGGGCGGUACAUCUGUCAAAUUGUAACGCAGGUGUCCUAAGGCGAGCUCAGAGAGGACGGAAACCUCUCGUUGAGCAAAAAGGCAAAUGCUUACUUGAUCUUGAUUUUCAGUACGAAUACAGACCGCGAAAGCGUGGCUUAUCGAUCCUUUUGAGUUUGUAAAGUUUACAGCAAGAGGUGUCAGAAAAGUUACCACAGGGAUAACUGGCUUGUGGCGGCCAAGCGUCCAUAGCGACGUCGCUUUUUGAUCCUUCGAUGUCGGCUCUUCCUAUCAUUGCGAAGCAGAAUUCGCCAAGCGUUGGAUUGUUCACCCACCAAUAGGGAACGUGAGCUGGGUUUAGACCGUCGUGAGACAGGUUAGUUUUACCCUACUAAAUACUUGUUGCUAUGAUGGUAAUCCUGCUUAGUACGAGAGGAACCGCAGGUUCAGACAUUUGGUUCAUGUGCCUGGUCGAUAGGCCAAUGGCGCGAAGCUACCAUCUGAGGGAUUAUGACUGAACGCCUCUAAGUCAGAAUCCCGCCCAGUCAUGAUAGCAAUAUAUAUCGCUCUCCGGUGUCGGAAGGCAAAAUGUAUGCCACUUUUUUUAGUGGUAGUACAAGCCCCAGUAUCUGGCAUUUUCCUUCUACUAUAAUUGGUAGUUGGUUGCUAAAAGCUUAGCACUCCUCGUGCAGGUGUAAACGUCGGGGCGCAAAAUCACUUGUAUACGACUUGAAUACUGGUCAGGGGGUUGUAUCCAGUAGAGCAGCUCUUCGCUGCGAUCUGUUGAGACUUAGCCCUUGAUCGGAUGAUUUGUCUUUUUU
Molecule: ribosomal RNA, 3143 nt
Filed under: Meloidogyne arenaria
Lineage: Eukaryota; Metazoa; Nematoda; Chromadorea; Rhabditida; Meloidogynidae
Description: eukaryotic LSU rRNA
Rfam family: Eukaryotic large subunit ribosomal RNA (bases 557-3136)
Source: RNAcentral